GAUGAACGCUGGCGGCGUGCUUAACACAUGCAAGUCGAGCGAGAAGUUUUGAAAAGAUUCUUCGGAUGAAAUUUAAAAUGGAAAGCGGCGGACGGGUGAGUAACGCGUAGGCAACCUGCCCCAUACAAAGGGAUAGCAUUUGGAAACGAAUAUUAAUACCUUAUGAAACUUAACUAGUGCAUGCUAGGUAGGUCAAAGAUUUAUCGGUAUGGGAUGGGCCUGCGUCUGAUUAGCUAGUUGGUGAGGUAACGGCUCACCAAGGCGACGAUCAGUAGCCGACCGGGGAGGGUGAACGGCCACAUUGGAACUGAGACACGGUCCAAACUCCUACGGGAGGCAGCAGUGGGGAAUAUUGCACAAUGGGGGAAACCCUGAUGCAGCAACGCCGCGUGAACGAUGAAGGCCUUUGGGUCGUAAAGUUCUGUUCUAGGUGAUGAAAACUGACAGUAACCUAGGAGAAAGCCCCGGCUAACUCCGUG
RNAcentral lists this ribosomal RNA (479 nucleotides) under uncultured bacterium. RNAcentral's name for it is "partial 16S ribosomal RNA". It matches the Rfam family "Bacterial small subunit ribosomal RNA", at positions 28 to 507 of the family's 1533-position model. The record is from RNAcentral.